RNAcentral lists this ribosomal RNA (793 nucleotides) under uncultured bacterium. RNAcentral describes it as "bacterial SSU rRNA". It matches the Rfam family "Bacterial small subunit ribosomal RNA", at positions 8 to 796 of the family's 1533-position model. The record is from RNAcentral.
AGAGUUUGAUCAUGGCUCAGAUUGAACGCUGGCGGCAGGCCUAACACAUGCAAGUCGAGCGGUAGAGAGGAGCUUGCUUCUCUUGAGAGCGGCGGACGGGUGAGUAAUACCUAGGAAUCUGCCUGAUAGUGGGGGAUAACGUUCGGAAACGGACGCUAAUACCGCAUACGUCCUACGGGAGAAAGCAGGGGACCUUCGGGCCUUGCGCUAUCAGAUGAGCCUAGGUCGGAUUAGCUAGUUGGUGAGGUAAUGGCUCACCAAGGCUACGAUCCGUAACUGGUCUGAGAGGAUGAUCAGUCACACUGGAACUGAGACACGGUCCAGACUCCUACGGGAGGCAGCAGUGGGGAAUAUUGGACAAUGGGCGAAAGCCUGAUCCAGCCAUGCCGCGUGUGUGAAGAAGGUCUUCGGAUUGUAAAGCACUUUAAGUUGGGAGGAAGGGCAGUUACCUAAUACGUGAUUGUCUUGACGUUACCGACAGAAUAAGCACCGGCUAACUCUGUGCCAGCAGCCGCGGUAAUACAGAGGGUGCAAGCGUUAAUCGGAAUUACUGGGCGUAAAGCGCGCGUAGGUGGUUUGUUAAGUUGAAUGUGAAAUCCCCGGGCUCAACCUGGGAACUGCAUCCAAAACUGGCAAGCUAGAGUAUGGUAGAGGGUAGUGGAAUUUCCUGUGUAGCGGUGAAAUGCGUAGAUAUAGGAAGGAACACCAGUGGCGAAGGCGACUACCUGGACUGAUACUGACACUGAGGUGCGAAAGCGUGGGGAGCAAACAGGAUUAGAUACCCUGGUAGUCC